This 318-nucleotide ribosomal RNA is filed under the name uncultured eukaryote. RNAcentral's name for it is "partial 18S ribosomal RNA". It matches the Rfam family "Eukaryotic small subunit ribosomal RNA", at positions 1470 to 1796 of the family's 1831-position model. The record is from RNAcentral.
CCCUUAGAUGUUCUGGGCUGCACGCGUGCUACACUGAUUACUUCAACAAGUGUUUUAACUGGAGAGUUCGCGUAAUCCUGAAAUGUUAUCGUGAUGGGAGUAGAGUAUUGUAUUUGUUAAUCUUUAACGAGGAAUUCCUAGUAAGUGUAGGUUUAUAAGUUGUUCUGAUUACGUCCCUGCCCUUUGUACACACCGCCCGUCGCUCCUACCGAUUGAAUGCUCAGGUGAGCCAUUCGGACUUUCAUCAUGCUGGUUUCCAGUUUUGAUGAAGGAAAGUCUUGCGAACCUUAUCAUUUAGAGGAAGGAGAAGUCGUAACA